AUUGAACGCUGGCGGCAGGCUUAACACAUGCAAGUCGAGCGGAGCGAGGGUGCUUGCACCUUAGCUUAGCGGCGGACGGGUGAGUAAUGCUUAGGAAUCUGCCUAUUAGUGGGGGACAACAUUCCGAAAGGAAUGCUAAUACCGCAUACGCCCUACGGGGGAAAGCAGGGGAUCUUCGGACCUUGCGCUAAUAGAUGAGCCUAAGUCGGAUUAGCUAGUUGGUGGGGUAAAGGCCUACCAAGGCGACGAUCUGUAGCGGGUCUGAGAGGAUGAUCCGCCACACUGGGACUGAGACACGGCCCAGACUCCUACGGGAGGCAGCAGUGGGGAAUAUUGGACAAUGGGCGGAAGCCUGAUCCUGCCAUGCCGCGUGUGUGAAGAAGGCCUUUUGGUUGUAAAGCACUUUAAGCGAGGAGGAGGCUACUUAGAUUAAUACUCUGGGAUAGUGGACGUUACUCGCAGAAUAAGCACCGGCUAACUCUGUGCCAGCCGCCGCCGCAGUAA
RNAcentral lists this ribosomal RNA (504 nucleotides) under uncultured bacterium. RNAcentral describes it as "partial 16S ribosomal RNA". It matches the Rfam family "Bacterial small subunit ribosomal RNA", at positions 30 to 523 of the family's 1533-position model. The record is from RNAcentral.